Molecule: ribosomal RNA, 927 nt
Filed under: Bacteroidetes bacterium enrichment culture clone L11_2_53
Lineage: Bacteria; Pseudomonadati; Bacteroidota
Also listed under: 1 other name
Description: bacterial SSU rRNA
Rfam family: Bacterial small subunit ribosomal RNA
Source: RNAcentral
AGAGUUUGAUCAUGGCUCAGGAUGAACGCUAGCGACAGGCCUAACACAUGCAAGUCGAGGGGCAUCGGGAUGUAGCAAUACAUUGCCGGCGACCGGCGCACGGGUGAGUAACGCGUAUGCAACCUGCCCACAGCAGGGGGAUAGCCCGUUGAAAGACGGAUUAAUACCGCAUAACACAGGGGUUCCGCAUGGGACUAUUUGUUAAAGGGUAUCUAUUUGGAUAUUUCGGCUGUGGAUGGGCAUGCGUUCCAUUAGGUAGUUGGUGAGGUAACGGCUCACCAAGCCGACGAUGGAUAGGGGAACUGAGAGGUUUGUCCCCCACACUGGUACUGAGAUACGGACCAGACUCCUACGGGAGGCAGCAGUGAGGAAUAUUGGUCAAUGGACGGAAGUCUGAACCAGCCAAGUCGCGUGAAGGAUGACGGCCCUAGGGGUUGUAAACUUCUUUUGCAGCAGAAUAAAGGGUGCCACGAGUUGGCAUAUUGCCUGUAUGCUGCGAAUAAGGAUCGGCUAACUCCGUGCCAGCAGCCGCGGUAAUACGGAGGAUCCGAGCGUUAUCCGGAUUUAUUGGGUUUAAAGGGUGCGCAGGCGGGAUGUUAAGUCGGCGGUGAAAUUUUGCGGCUCAACCGUAAAAGUGCCAUCGAAACUGGCAUUCUUGAGGGUGGAUGAAGUAGGCGGAAUUUGUGGUGUAGCGGUGAAAUGCAUAGAUAUCACAAAGAACACCGAUUGCGGAGGCAGCUUACUAAACCACCACUGACGCUCAGGCACGAAGGCGUGGGGAUCAAACAGGAUUAGAUACCCUGGUAGUCCACGCAGUAAACGAUGAUUACUGGCUGUUUGCGAUAUAAUGUAAGCGGCUGAGCGAAAGCGUUAAGUAAUCCACCUGGGGAGUACGUUCGCAAGAAUGAAACUCAAAUGAAUUGACGG